AUAAUGGUCCGAACAAAGGGGUUG
RNAcentral lists this non-coding RNA (24 nucleotides) under Gossypium hirsutum (cotton). The record is from RNAcentral. Lineage: Eukaryota; Viridiplantae; Streptophyta; Magnoliopsida; Malvales; Malvaceae.